GGUUCGAUGGCGUAGUUGGUUAUCGCAUCUGUCUAACAUUCAUAACACAGUCUGCUGUGCUGUCCAUUUGUUGCACAGAAGAUCCCCAGUUCGAGCAUGGGUCGAAUCA
This is a non-coding RNA of Marasmius tenuissimus, 109 nucleotides long. Lineage: Eukaryota; Fungi; Basidiomycota; Agaricomycetes; Agaricales; Marasmiaceae. The record is from the annotation of a GenBank genome assembly.